AACCGGGGGAACUGAAACAUCUAAGUACCCCGAGGAAAAGAAAUCAACCGAGAUUCCCCCAGUAGCGGCGAGCGAACGGGGAGCAGCCCAGAGCCUGAAUCAGUGUGUGUGUUAGUGGAAGCGUCUGGAAAGGCGCGCGAUACAGGGUGACAGCCCCGUACACAAAAAUGCACAUGCUGUGAGCUCGAUGAGUAGGGCGGGACACGUGGUAUCCUGUCUGAAUAUGGGGGGACCAUCCUCCAAGGCUAAAUACUCCUGACUGACCGAUAGUGAACCAGUACCGUGAGGGAAAGGCGAAAAGAACCCCGGCGAGGGGAGUGAAAAAGAACCUGAAACCGUGUACGUACAAGCAGUGGGAGCACGCUUAGGCGUGUGACUGCGUACCUUUUGUAUAAUGGGUCAGCGACUUAUAUUCUGUAGCAAGGUUAACCGAAUAGGGGAGCCGAAGGGAAACCGAGUCUUAACUGGGCGUUAAGUUGCAGGGUAUAGACCCGAAACCCGGUGAUCUAGCCAUGGGCAGGUUGAAGGUUGGGUAACACUAACUGGAGGACCGAACCGACUAAUGUUGAAAAAUUAGCGGAUGACUUGUGGCUGGGGGUGAAAGGCCAAUCAAACCGGGAGAUAGCUGGUUCUCCCCGAAAGCUAUUUAGGUAGCGCCUCGUGAAUUCAUCUCCGGGGGUAGAGCACUGUUUCGGCAAGGGGGUCAUCCCGACUUACCAACCCGAUGCAAACUGCGAAUACCGGAGAAUGUUAUCACGGGAGACACACGGCGGGUGCUAACGUCCGUCGUGAAGAGGGAAACAACCCAGACCGCCAGCUAAGGUCCCAAAGUCAUGGUUAAGUGGGAAACGAUGUGGGAAGGCCCAGACAGCCAGGAUGUUGGCUUAGAAGCAGCCAUCAUUUAAAGAAAGCGUAAUAGCUCACUGGUCGAGUCGGCCUGCGCGGAAGAUGUAACGGGGCUAAACCAUGCACCGAAGCUGCGGCAGCGACGCUUAUGCGUUGUUGGGUAGGGGAGCGUUCUGUAAGCCUGUGAAGGUGUGCUGUGAGGCAUGCUGGAGGUAUCAGAAGUGCGAAUGCUGACAUAAGUAACGAUAAAGCGGGUGAAAAGCCCGCUCGCCGGAAGACCAAGGGUUCCUGUCCAACGUUAAUCGGGGCAGGGUGAGUCGACCCCUAAGGCGAGGCCGAAAGGCGUAGUCGAUGGGAAACAGGUUAAUAUUCCUGUACUUGGUGUUACUGCGAAGGGGGGACGGAGAAGGCUAUGUUGGCCGGGCGACGGUUGUCCCGGUUUAAGCGUGUAGGCUGGUUUUCCAGGCAAAUCCGGAAAAUCAAGGCUGAGGCGUGAUGAC
This 1346-nucleotide ribosomal RNA is filed under the name Escherichia coli. Its description in RNAcentral is "partial 23S ribosomal RNA". It matches the Rfam family "Bacterial large subunit ribosomal RNA", at positions 181 to 1570 of the family's 2925-position model. The record is from RNAcentral. Lineage: Bacteria; Pseudomonadati; Pseudomonadota; Gammaproteobacteria; Enterobacterales; Enterobacteriaceae.